RNAcentral lists this precursor RNA (565 nucleotides) under Escherichia coli. RNAcentral describes it as "partial precursor RNA". The stretch from base 373 to 445 matches the Rfam family "tRNA". The record is from RNAcentral. Lineage: Bacteria; Pseudomonadati; Pseudomonadota; Gammaproteobacteria; Enterobacterales; Enterobacteriaceae.
CUUGAUGCCGACUUAGCUCAGUAGGUAGAGCAACUGACUUGUAAUCAGUAGGUCACCAGUUCGAUUCCGGUACUCGGCACCAUCAAGUCCGGUGGGGUUCCCGAGCGGCCAAAGGGAGCAGACUGUAAAUCUGCCGUCACAGACUUCGAAGGUUCGAAUCCUUCCCCCACCACCAAUUUCGGCCACGCGAUGGCGUAGCCCGAGACGAUAAGUUCGCUUACCGGCUCGAAUAAAGAGAGCUUCUCUCGAUAUUCAGUGCAGAAUGAAAAUCAGGUAGCCGAGUUCCAGGAUGCGGGCAUCGUAUAAUGGCUAUUACCUCAGCCUUCCAAGCUGAUGAUGCGGGUUCGAUUCCCGCUGCCCGCUCCAAGAUGUGCUGAUAUAGCUCAGUUGGUAGAGCGCACCCUUGGUAAGGGUGAGGUCGGCAGUUCGAAUCUGCCUAUCAGCACCACUUCUUUUCUCCUCCCUGUUUUUUCCUUCUGUUUAUUGCAUUCAACAAGUCGGGCAUGUUGCCUGGUUGAUGUGGUGAUAUCACCGAUUUAUCCGUGUCUUAGAGGGACAAUCGAUG